RNAcentral lists this ribosomal RNA (506 nucleotides) under uncultured bacterium. RNAcentral describes it as "partial 16S ribosomal RNA". It matches the Rfam family "Bacterial small subunit ribosomal RNA", at positions 28 to 523 of the family's 1533-position model. The record is from RNAcentral.
GAUGAACGCUAGCUACAGGCUUAACACAUGCAAGUCGAGGGGUAACGAGAGGAAAGCUUGCUUUCCUUGUCGACGACCGGCGCACGGGUGAGUAACGCGUAUCCAACCUGCCCCCAACUAGGGAAUAACCUUGCGAAAGUAAGACUAAUACCCUAUAAUUUCCUCAGAUGUCAUCUGACGAGGAAUAAAGAUUUAUCGGUUGUGGAUGGGGAUGCGUCUGAUUAGCUUGUUGGCGGGGUAACGGCCCACCAAGGCAACGAUCAGUAGGGGUUCUGAGAGGAAGGUCCCCCACAUUGGAACAGAGACACGGUCCAAACUCCUACGGGAGGAAGCAGUGAGGAAUAUUGGUCAAUGGGCGGAAGCCUGAACCAGCCAAGUAGCGUGCAGGAUGACGGCCCUAUGGGUUGUAAACUGCUUUUAUACAGGAAUAAAGUUAGCCACGUGUGGUUAUUUGUAGGUACUGUAUGAAUAAGGACCGGCUAAUUCCGUGCCAGCAGCCGCAGUAA